GGGAUAUAAGUAUCCGAGUAGUUCCGCGUACGAGUCUCUUUUGAGUUACAAAACUCAAAACAUUUCGUCAUUAAUUUUCAUUUUAUCCGUUUGAAAUAGCGUUUACGACGACGUAUUAAAAAUAUCCGUUUUUUAUGUAAAAUACGACAAAAUAGAGAAACUAGUGUUUUGUUCUUUUUCUCUUUAAUAUAUUACUUACUUACCGUGAGGAAGGACGAAAAGAAAACUAGUAUAUUUACUAUAUUGAUUACUCUAUGAAUACAAUAACUCUAACCUCGAGAUGCUUGUUCCUAAUAUUGUUAAAUUAGGUAAGCUCGAUCUAUACGAAAUGACGAUUGUUACCACGUCGUGUUUCCGAUACUUACAUAUAUACGUUCCAUUUUGCGCUUACGUUUCAUAAAGAAACGAACAUUCUCGGUGACGGUUAAGAAAAGGUUAAACUAGCUACCUAGUUAGCUUGCUCGCUUUGAGAUCAACCGCAGCUGUAGGUCUCUAGGUAGCUAGAAAUGGCAGCUGCAGCUGUCGUUGUAAUUUGCGAUCCGUUUCACGUCGCCUUCGUGAACGCGAUAGAAAGAGGCGGAGGAGGAGGAGGAGAAGGAGAUUCGAAAGAUCGAGACCUCAAAGCGUUGGGCUUUAACAUCAGCAUCAGCAUCAGCAUCAGCAUCAACAUCAGCCACAUACUCUUUCAACCCGAUGUUGUUGAUCGAUACAGCAAAUACUUAGAACGUCGUCGUAGUUAAAAAAAGCGCCGGCACGUGUUUCACUACUUGAAUUUCAAGAAUCACGUCGUCACGUCGAAGUAUCGCACUGAACAUCAAUACCAGGCAAAACCAACCAGUGCCUUUUUCUUAGAAAAAAGUAAAUACUAAAAAAUUAUAAUUCAACGGAGAUAUCGUUUGAUGACGUCGUACCCAAUAUCAAUAAUUCUCGGAUUCACCGGCACAAGGGAAGCAAAGAGACAGUCGAGCAAUUUUGUAUCCUCAUGAGGAGCAUAUUAAGUAAGAUCAUUGAAACCUUCUUAUUUAUGUUUCAAGAAAUGGGGCCCAUUUUUAUUUUCAGACAUUCAGAUUCUAUAAGACGUUUUGACAAGAAAACACAACGAUCUAAACGUUCACGUAUAGAUAAGUAGUUUUCCCUAAUAUCCGAAACAUAGAGUAAAUUUAUAGACAAUAGUCAAGCGUGUUAUAAGCCGUACGAAAAUAUUUGAAUUGAUAAACAAUUGUUUCCUACGAAAGUUC
Vespa mandarinia (Asian giant hornet) is the source of this 1238-nucleotide long non-coding RNA. The record is from RefSeq and is a predicted model, not a curated record. NCBI's taxonomy places the organism in Eukaryota, Metazoa, Arthropoda, Insecta, Hymenoptera, Vespidae.